UAUACAUUAUAUAUAUAUAUUUCUAUUAAUCAUUUUCGGCCUUUCGGCAUUCGGUUUUCGGCCAACUGUUUCCUAUUUUCAGUAUCGGUUUCGGCCAAGAAUUUCCCAUUCGGUGCACCCCUACUCAGAAUCAUUAAGAACACAGCAGUGGCCAAAAGUGUUUCCAAUCCCGGUCUUCUCCUAUGACACAGAAUGUCAAUUACAGAGAGGAAAUGCAGAGUACACAAAGAACCAAUCUAGACUGACACCAAGCUCAAAUCAUCUGCAGAGCUUGCUGUGAACUCGUUGAAGACCAAGUCUCAAGAAGAGUCCUACCCUGCGAAGAAUUUUAAAGAGAGCCAGGCGAGCUGAUGCCAACCAUUUUCCAUCCUUGCCGAUUGGUGAGACUCCAGAAAGCAUGGAGCAAGAGACAAUUUCCCUUUUGGCAGAACAACAGAAAAGAAACAACCGGCAAUCAAUAAAAGAAAAGAUGGCGAAGGCGUUUGGAUACUGAAGACAAGAAAUAGUGCAUCGGAGGCCAAGCAUUGAAGGCCUCUUGGAGCGGUGGCCUGCACUUUUUCACAUGGAAGAGGUAAAUGCUGAGUUAAUGCGCAUAACAACAAUUCCAUUGGAGACAAAGUUCUUGGCGCAGUUGGACAAACACUCAGGUCAUCAGGAGCAGGGGAGGAGUUGUGAAACAGAAGACCACCGGGAUCUUGCAGGUUUUGGAUGAGACUGUGGACAUCGCCAUCAGAAGAGAAUGCGUCCUCAAAUCUCUAAUGAUCUACCUGGGUGAACCUGUUGACCAUCUCAUCAAAGAAUUCCAGGACGCUGAGGCUGGAGAACUGGAGCAGGCAACAAUGGAAGCCUUUGACACUGGGAAAGAGGAUCAGCUUCAUCGACCCAAAGACGUCAAGGUUCUCAUCGAAGGAACAGAGGUCCUCAGCGGCUUGCCCUCGGUUGCGACAGCUUUUGCCAUGCUCUUCGGGCUCAUAUACGCACUGAAAUGGGGCGAAGCCUGCGAGCUAGUUCAGGCAGUCAACUCGAGCACUUAUGCUGCAUUCAUACAUAACGCCCCCUUGCCACUCUACAACCAACCAAACAGAGUCUCCUUAAUAUGCCGCUCUAUUUAACCUGCCAGAUCUCUCUCCAUGCAUUGCUUGCUGCUGCUAUUGCUGCAGAUACCUCUACGUCGCUGCUGCUCGCUGCCCCACCACCACCCCAGCUUCCACCUGUAGGCUCGGGGGUUAGUUAUUUGAUCAUCACUCAUCGUGCUAUGUAUAUCUAUGGAGUGAUGAUGCCCGAGCCUAGUCGCCAAACUCAACUAUAUGCUGCUUCUAAUAAACAUGUUAAAGGAACACGUGAGUUGUCUGACUGAACUUAAGAUAUCAGAAAUAACUGCAAUCCACUUUUGAAGUUGUGCAAAAAGUCCUGAUGGAGGGGAAAAAGAUGAGCCCAAAAGUGAAUAGACUGAGAACCCAGCUGGUAGACACUUUGUUGCACUCACUCACAGUUACCAUUGUUACAUGGUAAGGUUUCUAAAACCAAGGUUUUAUAAUAAUUAUGCAUUGUAAAACAUUUGCGAAA
Long non-coding RNA from Gymnodraco acuticeps, 1566 nucleotides. RefSeq lists it as uncharacterized. The transcript has 4 exons. NCBI's taxonomy places the organism in Eukaryota, Metazoa, Chordata, Actinopteri, Perciformes, Bathydraconidae. The record is from RefSeq and is a predicted model, not a curated record.